RNAcentral lists this ribosomal RNA (465 nucleotides) under uncultured Klebsiella sp. RNAcentral describes it as "bacterial SSU rRNA". It matches the Rfam family "Bacterial small subunit ribosomal RNA", at positions 338 to 795 of the family's 1533-position model. The record is from RNAcentral. Lineage: Bacteria; Pseudomonadati; Pseudomonadota; Gammaproteobacteria; Enterobacterales; Enterobacteriaceae.
CCUACGGGUGGCUGCAGUGGGGAAUAUUGCACAAUGGGCGCAAGCCUGAUGCAGCCAUGCCGCGUGUGUGAAGAAGGCCUUCGGGUUGUAAAGCACUUUCAGCGGGGAGGAAGGCGUUAAGGUUAAUAACCUUGUCGAUUGACGUUACCCGCAGAAGAAGCACCGGCUAACUCCGUGCCAGCAGCCGCGGUAAUACGGAGGGUGCAAGCGUUAAUCGGAAUUACUGGGCGUAAAGCGCACGCAGGCGGUCUGUCAAGUCGGAUGUGAAAUCCCCGGGCUCAACCUGGGAACUGCAUUCGAAACUGGCAGGCUAGAGUCUUGUAGAGGGGGGUAGAAUUCCAGGUGUAGCGGUGAAAUGCGUAGAGACCUGGAGGAAUACCGGUGGCGAAGGCGGCCCCCUGGACAAAGACUGACGCUCAGGUGCGAAAGCGUGGGGAGCAAACAGGAUUAGAUACCCCAGUAGUC